UUCAGAGGCUAUCCAGGAGCCCCCAGCCCAUAGCCAUCCAUACCAUACAAAAGACAUGUCCUUCAGAGAUUCCAAGGGUUUUGGGGUGUGUGUAUCAGGAAGCAGAGGCAGAGACGAAAUUCUGUUUCUUCCUGUGUCAUAAGCCCCAUUAAGGUCCACCAGCAAAUGAGUUAAUUUCAGGGAUUCUGCUCAGGUGGAAAAAAUAACAAGGAGAGGCAACAGGAGGCCGCUCUUCCUUUCUGUUCUUUCUUCACUUCUCAUAAACCACACACCUGGGCAUGGGCCCUGAUUCAACCCAUUAGUUGUUUCUUCCAUUAAAACACUGGACCUGAUGAUCUUUAAAGGCCUGAUCAAUUCUGAAUUCCAGCAAGAGGCAGAAAGAAGGCAGUGAUGCGGGAAGGUAUUGGGCUGCACCCCGCAGGCCUGCAAACCCAGUGCUUGUCCAACUUCAAGACUGAAAAAAAGGCCCAGAGUCAGCAACAGAGACAUCAGUGAUUUAAUGGAUGGGGGAGCUUGCAUGUAUGAAGCAAGGUCCUGGAGCAACACCCCACCGUGUUUGUGGCAGACAGCAGACAGGACUUGGCGGUCUUCCCCAAUGACUCAGCAGUAAAGAAUCCACCUGCAAUGCUGGAGACACAGGUUCAGUCCUUGGGUUGAGAAGAUCCCCUGGAGGAGGAAUUUGCAACCCACUCCAAUGUUCUUGCCUGGGAAAUCCCAUGGACAGGGGAGCCUAGCAGGCUACACAGUCCAUGGGGUUGCAAAAGAGUAGGAACCAACUUGGUGACUAAACAACAACAAUCUUUUGACUAUCUGGUUUUUGUUGCAAAACUCCUGUAUAUCCUGGCUCCUCCCUUAUAUCUUGGGAGCUGUCCCUUGGAGCUCUCUGAGAAACUGUCGUCCAGGCUUAAGUCUCCAGAAGUUUCACCAAAUAAAACAUAAUUCUCAAACUUUUAUGUUGUGCAUUUUUCAGUCAACACAUAUUUACUUUGACAUCCCAGUGACUCAGAUUGCAAAAACAACCUAACUCCCAUGCUUAGCUCAGUAACAAUGAUAACUAUUUUGGGUGCUUGCUAAGUGCCUGAUCCUGCUGUAAGCACUUUCCAGGCUUCAGCCCUCAUAGCAAACCCAGGGUAGGUUCUAUUAUUAGCUCCAUUUUGCAUAAGAACAAAUUGCCCAAGGUCAA
Molecule: long non-coding RNA, 1183 nt
Organism: Bos taurus (domestic cattle)
Lineage: Eukaryota; Metazoa; Chordata; Mammalia; Artiodactyla; Bovidae
Source: Ensembl